RNAcentral lists this ribosomal RNA (253 nucleotides) under uncultured bacterium. RNAcentral describes it as "partial 16S ribosomal RNA". It matches the Rfam family "Bacterial small subunit ribosomal RNA", at positions 524 to 776 of the family's 1533-position model. The record is from RNAcentral.
CACGUAGGGCGCAAGCGUUGUCCGGAAUUAUUGGGCGUAAAGAGCUCGUAGGCGGUCUGUUGCGUCCGCUGUGAAAACCCGGGGCUUAACCCCUGGCUUGCAGUGGAUACGGACAGACUAGAGGUAGGUAGGGGAGAAUAGAAUUCCCGGUGUAGCGGUGAAAUGCGCAGAUAUCGGGAGGAACACCGGUGGCGAAGGCGGUUCUCUGGGCCUUACCUGACGCUGAGGAGCGAAAGCGUGGGGAGCGAACAGG